AAGGAUCAUUACCGAGUGCGGGCCCUCUGGGUCCAACCUCCCAUCCGUGUCUAUCUGUACCCUGUUGCUUCGGCGUGGCCACGGCCCGCCGGAGACUAACAUUUGAACGCUGUCUGAAGUUUGCAGUCUGAGUUUUUAGUUAAACAAUCGUUUAAAACUUUCAACAACGGAUCUCUUGGUUCCGGCAUCGAUGAAGAACGCAGCGAAAUGCGAUAAUUAAUGUGAAUUGCAGAAUUCAGUGAAUCAUCGAGUCUUUGAACGCACAUUGCGCCCCCUGGUAUUCCGGGGGGCAUGCCUGUCCGAGCGUCAUUGCUGCCCUCAAGCACGGCUUGUGUGUUGGGCUUCCGUCCCUGGCAACGGGGACGGGCCCAAAAGGCAGUGGCGGCACCAUGUCUGGUCCUCGAGCGUAUGGGGCUUUGUCACCCGCUCCCGUAGGUCCAGCUGGCAGCUAGCCUCGCAACCAAUCUUUUUAACCAGGUUGACCUCGGAUCAGGUAGGGAUACCCGCUGAACUUAAGCAUAUCAAUAAGCGGAGGAA
This 537-nucleotide unclassified non-coding RNA is filed under the name Aspergillus costiformis. RNAcentral's name for it is "sequence contains ITS1, 5.8S rRNA gene, ITS2". The stretch from base 156 to 309 matches the Rfam family "5.8S ribosomal RNA". Lineage: Eukaryota; Fungi; Ascomycota; Eurotiomycetes; Eurotiales; Aspergillaceae. The record is from RNAcentral.